Molecule: ribosomal RNA, 899 nt
Filed under: uncultured bacterium
Lineage: Bacteria
Description: bacterial SSU rRNA
Rfam family: Bacterial small subunit ribosomal RNA
Source: RNAcentral
ACGCUGGCGGCGUGCCUAAUACAUGCAAGUCGAACGCCGGACACCUAGCUUGCUAGGGAGAAGGAGUGGCGAACGGGUGAGUAAUACAUAAGCAAUCUGCCCACAAAGACUGGGAUAACCUCUGGAAACGGGGACUAAUACCGGAUAGGUAGAAGAGAGGCAUCUUUCUUCUAUUAAAGAUGAGAAGCACUAGUGGAUGAGCUUAUGGCGCAUUAGUUAGUUGGUGAGGUAACGGCUCACCAAGACGAUGAUGCGUAGCCGGCCUGAGAGGGUGAACGGCCACAUUGGGACUGAGACACGGCCCAGACUCCUACGGGAGGCAGCAGUAGGGAAUUUUCGGCAAUGGGGGAACCCUGACCGAGCAACGCCGCGUGAGUGAAGACGGCCUUCGGGUUGUAAAGCUCUGUUGUAAGAAAAGAUAAACUAGGAGAGGAUCUUAGUCAGACAUUAUCUUACCAGAAAGCCACGGCUAACUACGUGCCAGCAGCCGCGGUAAUACGUAGGUGGCGAGCGUUAUCCGGAAUUAUUGGACGUAAAGGGUGCGUAGGCGGUCUGUUAAGUUCAUGGUCAAAUUGUGGGGCUCAACCCCAUCGCGCCAUGGAUACUGGCAGACUAGAGUAUUGGAGAGGCAAGUGGAAUUCCAUGUGUAGCGGUAAAAUGCGUAGAUAUAUGGAGGAACACCGGUGGCGAAGGCGACUUGCUAGCCAAAGACUGACGCUGAGGCACGAAAGCGUGGGGAGCAAAUAGGAUUAGAUACCCUAGUAGUCCACGCUGUAAACGAUGAAUACUAAGUAUUGGGGAGACUCAGUGCUGCAGCUAACGCAUUAAGUAUUCCGCCUGUGGAGUAUGCACGCAAGUGUGAAACAUAAAGGAAUUGACGGGGGCCCGCACAGCGGUGG